AAUAACCACUAGCAGAUGGAAUGGUGUCCUUCUAGCUUCUUUUGUUGUCAUGGCUUCUCCUUGUAAGGCCAAAAUGUUACCUUCAUGAACAUGCACAUUUAUAUGAUCUGCUGGAGCAUCAAGUUUCAUGUACUUUCCUGUAUCUGCACUAAGUGAAUGUGAGUAGUUAAAAAGGUCGAACCAAUUUCCAGCCGGGAUGUAUGCAUCAACUGAUACUGCUCCUGGCUUUAGCACAGGUGACACCAUCACACCUUUGCCAAUUAGAAACUGUGAGCUGAUUUCGUAAGUCC
This 290-nucleotide unclassified non-coding RNA is filed under the name Hevea brasiliensis (rubber tree). Lineage: Eukaryota; Viridiplantae; Streptophyta; Magnoliopsida; Malpighiales; Euphorbiaceae. The record is from RNAcentral.